This 204-nucleotide ribosomal RNA is filed under the name uncultured bacterium. RNAcentral's name for it is "partial 16S ribosomal RNA". It matches the Rfam family "Bacterial small subunit ribosomal RNA", at positions 138 to 341 of the family's 1533-position model. The record is from RNAcentral.
GGGGAAUAACCCGGCGAAAGUCGGACUAAUACCGCAUAAAACAGGGGUUCCACAUGGAAAUAUUUGUUAAAGAAUUAUCGCUGAUAGAUGGGCAUGCGUUCCAUUAGAUGGGUGGUGAGGUAACGGCUCACCAAGUCCACGAUGGAUAGGGGUUCUGAGAGGAAGGUCCCCCACACUGGUACUGAGACACGGACCAGACUCCUA